RNAcentral lists this ribosomal RNA (534 nucleotides) under Streptococcus dysgalactiae. Its description in RNAcentral is "bacterial SSU rRNA". It matches the Rfam family "Bacterial small subunit ribosomal RNA", at positions 8 to 523 of the family's 1533-position model. Lineage: Bacteria; Bacillati; Bacillota; Bacilli; Lactobacillales; Streptococcaceae. The record is from RNAcentral.
AGAGUUUGAUCCUGGCUCAGGACGAACGCUGGCGGCGUGCCUAAUACAUGCAAGUAGAACGCUGAGGACUGGUGCUUGCACCGGUCCAAGGAGUUGCGAACGGGUGAGUAACGCGUAGGUAACCUACCUCAUAGCGGGGGAUAACUAUUGGAAACGAUAGCUAAUACCGCAUGACAAUGGAGGACUCAUGUCUUUCAUUUAAAAGGUGCAAUUGCAUCACUAUGAGAUGGACCUGCGUUGUAUUAGCUAGUUGGUGAGGUAACGGCUCACCAAGGCGACGAUACAUAGCCGACCUGAGAGGGUGAUCGGCCACACUGGGACUGAGACACGGCCCAGACUCCUACGGGAGGCAGCAGUAGGGAAUCUUCGGCAAUGGACGGAAGUCUGACCGAGCAACGCCGCGUGAGUGAAGAAGGUUUUCGGAUCGUAAAGCUCUGUUGUUAGAGAAGAAUGAUGGUGGGAGUGGAAAAUCCACCAUGUGACGGUAACUAACCAGAAAGGGACGGCUAACUACGUGCCAGCCGCCCGCGGUAA